Molecule: ribosomal RNA, 253 nt
Filed under: uncultured bacterium
Lineage: Bacteria
Description: partial 16S ribosomal RNA
Rfam family: Bacterial small subunit ribosomal RNA
Source: RNAcentral
UACGAAGGGGGCUAGCGUUGUUCGGAAUCACUGGGCGUAAAGGGCGCGUAGGCGGCUUUAUAAGUCGGGGGUGAAAGCCUGUGGCUCAACCACAGAAUUGCCUUCGAUACUGUAGAGCUUGAGACCGGAAGAGGUAAGUGGAACUGCGAGUGUAGAGGUGAAAUUCGUAGAUAUUCGGAAGAACACCAGUGGCGAAGGCGGCUCACUGGCCCGGUACUGACGCUGAAAUACGAAAGCGUGGGGAGCAAACAGG